CGAAUGCUGACAUAAGUAACGAUAAAGCGGGUGAAAAGCCCGCUCGCCGGAAGACCAAGGGUUCCUGUCCAACGUUAAUCGGGGCAGGGUGAGUCGACCCCUAAGGCGAGGCCGAAAGGCGUAGUCGAUGGGAAACAGGUUAAUAUUCCUGUACUUGGUGUUACUGCGAAGGGGGGACGGAGAAGGCUAUGUUGGCCGGGCGACGGUUGUCCCGGUUUAAGCGUGUAGGCUGGUUUUCCAGGCAAAUCCGGAAAAUCAAGGCUGAGGCGUGAUGACGAGGCACUACGGUGCUGAAGCAACAAAUGCCCUGCUUCCAGGAAAAGCCUCUAAGCAUCAGGUAACAUCAAAUCGUACCCCAAACCGACACAGGUGGUCAGGUAGAGAAUACCAAGGCGCUUGAGAGAACUCGGGUGAAGGAACUAGGCAAAAUGGUGCCGUAACUUCGGGAGAAGGCACGCUGAUAUGUAGGUGAAGUCCCUCGCGGAUGGAGCUGAAAUCAGUCGAAGAUACCAGCUGGCUGCAACUGUUUAUUAAAAACACAGCACUGUGCAAACACGAAAGUGGACGUAUACGGUGUGACGCCUGCCCGGUGCCGGAAGGUUAAUUGAUGGGGUUA
RNAcentral lists this ribosomal RNA (616 nucleotides) under Escherichia coli. RNAcentral describes it as "partial 23S ribosomal RNA". It matches the Rfam family "Bacterial large subunit ribosomal RNA", at positions 1291 to 1892 of the family's 2925-position model. The record is from RNAcentral. Lineage: Bacteria; Pseudomonadati; Pseudomonadota; Gammaproteobacteria; Enterobacterales; Enterobacteriaceae.